CCACCGAAAGGUGGUCUAAUACUUCAUAAUAUCCAUCUCGUAUGGAUUAAAGCUUUAUGCGCUUUGGAGGGGCCUGCGUAACAUUAGCUUGUUGGUGAGGUAAAAGCUCACCAAGGCUUCGAUGUUUAACUGGUUUGAGAGGAUGACCAGUCACGCUGGGACUGAGAUACGGCCCAGACUCCUACGGGAGGCAGCAGUAAGGAAUCUUCCACAAUGGGGCAACCCUGAUGGAGCAAUACCGCGUGCAGGAUGAAGCGUUUCGGCGUGUAAACUGCUUUUAUCACCGAAGAUUAUGACUGUAGGUGAAGAAUAAGGACCGGCUAACUACGUG
Molecule: ribosomal RNA, 331 nt
Filed under: uncultured bacterium
Lineage: Bacteria
Description: bacterial SSU rRNA
Rfam family: Bacterial small subunit ribosomal RNA
Source: RNAcentral